GUGUGUGUGUGUGUUUUAAUUUAACAAUUCGAGUGCAUUGCAUUGAACUUACAAAUUGAGGUUUGUGUGGAUCCUAAUAGAGGUUAAUGAAAGAUCCUCUAGUUCUCGAGCUAACAACAAAGCCUAUUCAAUAUAAAGAUUAAUCUUUAUGCCCUAUUUCAUAUAAAGAUCGAAUCUUUCAACAAGUAGAAGUGAGAUUGGUGUUUUGAGACUUGUUAUUGAUUUUACUAUCCACAAACACAUCAUUUGCUUUAUAAUUCUUUUUUUAGUUUUGAAUGAUAUAGGGGUCCUAUUAUGUUUGUGAGUCUAAUUCCCUCAAAUCAGUUGUGUGUGUAUUUUAAUUUAACAAUUCGAGUGCAUUGCAUUGAAUUUACAAAUUGAGGGUUGUGUGGAUCCUAAUAGAGGUUAAUAAAAGAUCCUAUAGUUCUCGAGCUA
This is a long non-coding RNA of Beta vulgaris subsp. vulgaris (sugar beet), 435 nucleotides long. RefSeq lists it as uncharacterized. Lineage: Eukaryota; Viridiplantae; Streptophyta; Magnoliopsida; Caryophyllales; Amaranthaceae. The transcript is spliced from 2 exons. The record is from RefSeq and is a predicted model, not a curated record.